AGACUUACCUGACAGGGGAGGUACCAUGAUCACUAGGGUGGUUUUCCCAGGGCGCAGCUUAUCCAUCACAUUCCAGAUGUGCUGACCCCUGUGAUUUCCCCAAAUAUGGGAAACUUGUAUGUGUAAUUUGUGGUAGUGGGGGACUGCAUCCAUGCUCUCCUCUG
Small nuclear RNA from Erinaceus europaeus (western European hedgehog), 164 nucleotides. Its record names the gene U1. It matches the Rfam family "U1 spliceosomal RNA". Rfam says of the family: U1 is a small nuclear RNA (snRNA) component of the spliceosome (involved in pre-mRNA splicing). NCBI's taxonomy places the organism in Eukaryota, Metazoa, Chordata, Mammalia, Eulipotyphla, Erinaceidae. The record is from Ensembl.